AAAGCGUGGCUUAUUUACUGUCACUGAAAUGAACGACAAAGUGCAGUUUAUCGGUAGCUAAAGUCUGCCUAUAGGAGAGAAAGCACACUCAUACGGAUCUGAAAAUGCCAACGGCGGAUUGCUUAUUUGUUACAUGGAGCCUAUCUGUUUCACCGACACUGUCUCUGCUCUGUCUCAGGCAAACAAGGGCCUAGAGACUGAGAGAGGACAAAUCCUGUCUGCUGGAGUCUAUAAACAACAGACGAUGCUCAAGGACAAGCAGGAGGAGUGGGUAAAAAAGCAGGGAUGGCUUGAUGGAGAAAUGUAUGGAUCUUGAGUGCCA
Long non-coding RNA from Sander lucioperca (pikeperch), 322 nucleotides. RefSeq lists it as uncharacterized. NCBI's taxonomy places the organism in Eukaryota, Metazoa, Chordata, Actinopteri, Perciformes, Percidae. The record is from RefSeq and is a predicted model, not a curated record. The transcript has 2 exons.